Molecule: ribosomal RNA, 407 nt
Filed under: uncultured bacterium
Lineage: Bacteria
Description: partial 16S ribosomal RNA
Rfam family: Bacterial small subunit ribosomal RNA
Source: RNAcentral
AUUGAACGCUGGCGGCAGGCCUAACACAUGCAAGUCGAGCGGAGCGGCGGACGGGUGAGUAAUGCCUAGGAAUCUGCCUGGUCUUGGGGGAUAACGUCCGGUAAUGGGCGCUGAUACCGCAUACUAUCAGAUGAGCCUAGGUCGGAUUAGCUAGUUGGUGGGGUAAAGGCUUACCAUGGCGACGAUCCGUAACUGGGCGGAGAGGAUGAUCAGUCACACUGGAACUGAGACACGGUCCAGACUCCUGCGGGGGGCAGCAGUGGGGAAUAUUGGACAAUGGGCGAAAGCCUUAUCCAGCAAUGCCGCGUGGGUGAAGAAGGUCUUCGGAUUGUAAAGCACUUUAAGUUGGGAGGCGUUACCAACAGAAUAAGCACCGGCUAACUUCGUGCCAGCAGCCGCGGUAAUAC